This 378-nucleotide long non-coding RNA is filed under the name Homo sapiens (human). Its description in RNAcentral is "HSALNT0369897". Lineage: Eukaryota; Metazoa; Chordata; Mammalia; Primates; Hominidae. The record is from RNAcentral.
CUUUGAAUUCCCAAAUAAAAACAGAACAACUAGACAGCCAAAUCAAAAACCCAUGAACACAUUUACAACAAAACUUGGUGAGAAGAUAUCCCUGCAAACUCCCAGAUCCACAAAGACCUGCAUGGUACUAACAUCUGUGCAGGAGAAAGCACAGGGGCUUUCUCUGUGGGACUUCUGAUGGAUCUGAGAACAAGAGAAUCCCCAAAUAGUCAACAGUCGUUCACUGGAAAGCAUGGCAGGCCAAGCUGAGGACAGCAUUUGUAACUGGGAAGAGGUUUGCCAACUCCAAUAGCAGAGAUGGAGUUCACUAUGUUUCCCAGGCCGGUCUUGAACUCUCGGGCUCAAUCAAAGGAGUAGAAACAAUGCAAAUGGCAACAU